UGGGUCGCCUGGUCGAGCGGGUAGCCGGCGGUCUUCGGUACCAUCUGCACCAUGAAGGUGAAGCGGUACUCGUUUUCCGACAGACGAGCGGCCAGA
This 96-nucleotide transfer RNA is filed under the name Skermanella aerolata. RNAcentral describes it as "tRNA-Arg". The record is from RNAcentral. Lineage: Bacteria; Pseudomonadati; Pseudomonadota; Alphaproteobacteria; Rhodospirillales; Azospirillaceae.